This 492-nucleotide ribosomal RNA is filed under the name uncultured bacterium. Its description in RNAcentral is "partial 16S ribosomal RNA". It matches the Rfam family "Bacterial small subunit ribosomal RNA", at positions 29 to 507 of the family's 1533-position model. The record is from RNAcentral.
AGUGAACGCUGGCGGUAGGCCUAACACAUGCAAGUCGAACGGCAGCACAGUAAGAGCUUGCUCUUACGGGUGGCGAGUGGCGGACGGGUGAGGAAUACAUCGGAAUCUACUUUUUCGUGGGGGAUAACGUAGGGAAACUUACGCUAAUACCGCAUACGACCUACGGGUGAAAGCAGGGGAUCUUCGGACCUUGCGCGAUUGAAUGAGCCGAUGUCGGAUUAGCUAGUUGGCGGGGUAAAGGCCCACCAAGGCGACGAUCCGUAGCUGGUCUGAGAGGAUGUUCAGCCACACUGGAACUGAGCCACGGUCCAGACUCCUACGGGAGGCACCAGUGGGGAAUAUUGGACAAUGGGCGCAAUCCUGAUCCAGCCAUACCGCGUGGGUGAAGAAGGCCUUCGGGUUGUAAAGCCCUUUUGUUGGGAAAGAAAAGCAGCAGGUUAAUACCCCGCUGUUCUGACGGUACCCAAAGAAUAAGCACCGGCUAACUUCGUG